RNAcentral lists this ribosomal RNA (300 nucleotides) under uncultured bacterium. Its description in RNAcentral is "bacterial SSU rRNA". It matches the Rfam family "Bacterial small subunit ribosomal RNA", at positions 399 to 691 of the family's 1533-position model. The record is from RNAcentral.
GCGUGUGUGAAGAAGGCUUGCGGGUUGUAAAGCACUUUCAGUUGGGAAGAAAAGCUUAUAGUUAAUAACUAUGGGUCUUGACGUUACCAACAGAAGAAGCACCGGCUAACUCUGUGCCAGCAGCCGCGGUAAUACAGAGGGUGCUAGCGUUAAUCGGAAUUACUGGGCGUAAAGGGUGCGUAGGCGGUUGAGCGAGUUGGAUGUGAAAGCCCAAGGCUUAACCUUGGAAUUGCAUUUGAUACUACUCAGCUAGAGUACAGUAGAGGAAAACGGAAUUUCUAGUGUAGCGGUGAAAUGCGU